This 585-nucleotide long non-coding RNA is filed under the name Sorghum bicolor (sorghum). RNAcentral describes it as "long non-coding RNA (SBIC_LNC016854)". The record is from RNAcentral. Lineage: Eukaryota; Viridiplantae; Streptophyta; Magnoliopsida; Poales; Poaceae.
GCCACCAUAAAAAAUUUACCACAAUUGGACCAUAGAAACUGUGGUUAUGAAUUAUUUCAAUUAAUUACAGAAAAGAAUAGAUCAAAAUCUAUAGCAAAAACUUUAUACUAAAGCAUACCAUAUUAUAUGUUCACUAUGUAGAUCUACUCAUGUGGAGGUCAACAAAAUUAGAUUUUCUAUUUGAUGAUAUACUAUAAUUUUUUAAAGAUUCAGCCAAAAUAAAUUAAAAAAAGACAAAAUCGCCUUUAAAAUCUGCUUAUAACCGGGCCAGGGAGGUAAAACGUAUUGUUUUAAAAGUUGAGGAAGAUGGUUUACCCGAUUUUUGAGUUUAGGAAGGAAAAACAGACUUUCGCAAAAAAAAAAUGAGUGAGGAAGAAUAAACUUUUUUCCUUAAAAUAAAUAAGCUGACCCAAUCCAAUUAUGAACCAGUACUCGAGUACACACCCAUGGGAAGUCUGGAGCUCCAAUAUGAUUUUGGUAGCUUCUUAUCUUUUAGUUUCUUCUAGUUUCUCAAUAUAGCGCAUACAAAAAAUAUAUGCAAAAUUAGAGAAAGUUUGUAUAAAAUCUCCUCAAACAAAUGCCCCC